RNAcentral lists this long non-coding RNA (1189 nucleotides) under Homo sapiens (human). RNAcentral's name for it is "HSALNT0158254". The record is from RNAcentral. Lineage: Eukaryota; Metazoa; Chordata; Mammalia; Primates; Hominidae.
ACCUUUCUGGACCCCAGCUCCUCUUCCCCUCUCUUGCCCCUUUGCUGGGGCCCCGACACCCUCCCAUCUAAGGCUGUGCCCUGCCCCAGGACUGACCUGUCCUUUGAGAUUAGGAAGCCCUGGCUGAACAGGUCAAGUGGCUCAGGGUCAGCCUACCCUCAGGGAGCAGACUCUACAGGGGCAAGCUGCAGGAACCACCCUGCUCGUGAGUUCAAAGCUCGUCUCACAGCUUACCCUCUCCAAACCUCGGCCUCCUCUCUCCUCAAAUGGGUGCUGUGAAGACUGAAGAAAAUCGUGCCUGGCCACCUGUAAAUGCUUUCCCGGGCCCUCUGAGACCAGAGCCCCUCCAUCGCUCCCUGCCUUGCAAGCCACCCAGCAGUGUGCCGGGCCAUCUCGCCAGCUGGCUGCUGCACAGCCAGGUUCUGCUGGCCGGAGACCACCAGCAGCUUGAAAGCAGCCAGGAUGUGAGUAUUUAGACCAGGGAAAGCAGCAAAGCAGACUUUUAUUUUUGUUUCUUUUUCUUUAUUUUCCCCCUAGGCAGCUGGUUUGCCAGUAUCUCCUCAGUCAUCCCAGAGCCAGAGCCCCACUCGUUGGGCCCAAGUGGCAGCUCUGUGCCCAGGCCCGGCCACCCCCUAGAGAGCCUGUGUCUAGGAGGCAGCUGGCCUGCUGGCCCCUGCACACUGCAGAGCUGGGCACCUCCAGAGCCCAUCCUCCACACUGCCCUGCCUGCACCCACACUGGCGGGCCUCACUUGACCCACACAGGGACUGCAACCAUAAAAGCAGCAGAGCCACUUGCCCCCAACCCCGCCCCGCCGAGCCUGGGGCCUCUCCAGGGUCAGGGCCCACUCCAACAAAGAGCAUUCUCAAAUGCCACCAGGGACACCUUCCAGACAAAGCUGAUCCAGUAGCAUGCUGGCUUUGAAUCCAGGUCAAAUACCCAAGAUGCACCUUUUUUCCUAUUUUGUUUUCUUAUUGUUUAUUUAUUUAUUUUUGAAACAGGGUCUCGCUGUCACCCAAGCUGAAGUGCAGUGGUGUGAUCAGGGCUCACUGCAGCCUCAACCUCCUAGGUUCAAGUGAUCCUCCCACCUCAGCCUCCCAAGUAGCUGGGACUACAGGCCCAUGCACCACCACCACACUGGAUAAUUUUUGUAUUUUCUGUAGAGACAGGGUUUCACCAUGUUGCCCAG